GUGGGCUCCAAGUAGGAAGAUAAACCGCAUUGCAGGAAGCGGGAGAGUCCGGAGGAGCGGCGAAGCGCUCCUCUUCCCCAUUGGCUGCGCCCACGGAGCCGCCUUGCGAUUGGCCCUAAGCGCGGGUGGCGGGGGUCGGGAGAGGCGUCAGGAUCCCUGGCGCCGCCUGAGCCAGCGGCUGCUGGGAGGCUGUGUCCGCAAGCCAGCGGGGCGAGGCGGCUGGGCCCUGCGCGUCAGGUCCCGGCCUGGGGCACCGGGGCUGGCAGCGUCGGAGGAGGCCUGAGACCUGGGAGGAAGCUGGAGAAAAGAUGCCCUCUGAAUCUUUGUUUGGCUGCCCAGGCUCGCCUCGACACCGAAUGGUUGAAAACAGAUAUACAGAUGAUAGUGUCGAACCAAGUGGAACAAAGAAAGAAGAUCUGAAUGACAAACAGAAAAAAGAUGAAGACGAAACUCCUGCACCUGUAUAUAGGGCCAAGUCAAUUCUGGAGACCUGGGUGUGGGUCAAGCAACCAGAUGUGAAAAGAGAGGUCCAAAGAACUCAAGCAAUUUUCCCUAAACCGUGUCCCUCGCAGAUGGAGAGAGAGUAGAGACGAGAUUUCACCAUGUUGGCCAGGCUGGUUUUGAACUCCAGACCUUGUGAUCCGCCCGCCUCUGCCUCCCAAAGUGCUGGGAUUAGAGGCAUGAGCCACCGCUCCUGGCCUGCAAUUUUCAUCUUUUGGCUGCAAAUACUCGGGAGACUGAGGCAGGAGAAUCACUUGAACCUGGGAUGCAGAGGUUGCAGUGAGCCGAGAUCGCACCAUUGCACUCCAGCCUGGGCAACAGAACGAAACUGUGUCUCAUAAAACAAAUGUAACUGAAAAUGGUAACGUGUUUCUUUAAAACUGAAGAAAAUGUGCAAGGUGGAUGUCUUCCUGUCACUUCGCACAGCCUACUGCCAUAGUGCCUGAACCCCAGACCCCAAACUCACUGUCCUGCUCGGGGACCCCAGACCACACUGGCCAUUGAAGGCACCCCAAGUACUCUCCUAUCCUCACCUCACUCCUGCAGUAAAUGGCUAAAUGAAUAACUCAGAAGUGAAGCCAAAAAGAAAAAGAAAAUGCACAUGGGGAACAGGAGAGGCGAGCAGAGGCCAGUCUGGAAGCCUAGGCUGAUACGCUGCGAAGAGAUGUCUCCGGGUGCUGCCUGCGGGGCGCAGUCUGCCAUUCAGAACACACCUAGAGAAGUCCUAACCAUUAAAGAGCACCCAUUCCUGAGUCCCCUGCCUGCCCACAAAACUUUCCUUGAAACACCCUAACCUCUGAGCCUUUGGGGAGGCUGAUUUCAGUGAUAACUCCAGUCCUUCCAUGUGGCUGGCAUUGAGUUAAUUCAACUCCUUACUGCAAUACCAUGGCCUCAGUGAACUGGUUUUGUCUGUGCAGCAAGCAGGAAGAACCCACCAGGGAAUUACAAUGGUAUUGGGAAAACUGGAUUUCCACGUGCAAAUGAAUGAAUGAUGUUACCCCAAGUGGUUGGGGAUGCAAUCAUACGGGUGUGGAAAUAGUCCUCAUGCACUGAGUCCACAUCUGGGUGGGGCCACAGGUUGAGUCCAGGUGGGGUAAGUCUGAGAAACAUCCCAAAAGGCCAAUUUUAGGUUCCACAAUAGUGAUGUUAUCUACAGGAGGCAUUGGGGAAGACACACAUCUUGUGACCUCUGGCCACAUGACUCCUGAGCAGUAAGGGGUUACAGAAACUAUGCUGUAUUUUCACAGAAUUCAGGCCCCCACGCACCAAAUCCUAAUCUUGUGGCCUUUCAUUCAUCUUACAAAAGUGGGUUCAGCUCCUGGACAAGGACAGCAUCAGUUUUAGGGAGGUUCUAUUAUCAUCCUUGCUUCAACGUUAGCAUAGCAGACAAGCGCAGAACCAGAAAUUAACACGUGGGAAAUUAUACACCACAAAUAGUACAAUCCAUGGAAGAACCAAGGGAAUGGCGAUAGCAGAAUGUCAGGAAAGGACUUUGUAAUGUGUAGGCCUUAGAGAAAUAGGGAAUUGAGACAAUAAUCUAUUUGAAUUCUUGGAAAUAAAAAAUGUAAUUAC
Molecule: long non-coding RNA, 2073 nt
Organism: Gorilla gorilla gorilla (western lowland gorilla)
Lineage: Eukaryota; Metazoa; Chordata; Mammalia; Primates; Hominidae
Exons: 6
Source: RefSeq, a predicted model, not a curated record